CCUACGGGUGGCUGCAGUGGGGAAUAUUGGGCAAUGGGCGCAAGCCUGACCCAGCAACGCCGCGUGAAGGAAGAAGGCUUUCGGGUUGUAAACUUCUUUUCUCAGGGACGAAGCAAGUUACGGUACCUGAAGAAAAAGCAUCGGCUAACUCCGUGCCAGCAGCCGCGGUAAUCCGGAGGAUGCGAGCGUGAGCGGGAUUUAUUGGGUUAAAAGGGUGCGUAGGCGGAAUGCCAAGUCCGCGGUAAAAUCGCGGGGUUUAACCUCGAACCGCCGUGGAAUCUGGGGUUCUUGAGUGGGCGAGAGGUAUGCGGAAUGCGUGGUGUAGCGGUGAAAUGCAUAGAGAUCAGGAAGAACUCCGAUUGCGAAGGCAGCAUACCGGCGCCCAACUGACGCUGAAGCACGAAAGCGUGGGUAUCGAACAGGAUUAGAUACCCUUGUAGUC
Molecule: ribosomal RNA, 442 nt
Filed under: uncultured bacterium
Lineage: Bacteria
Description: partial 16S ribosomal RNA
Rfam family: Bacterial small subunit ribosomal RNA
Source: RNAcentral